UAUGUGAAAACCUCUAUAUUUCCCUCAAUAAACUCCAUUUAUGUGCCUUAAGAACAGAUGCCACUUAUAGCUUUGCCAUACUAUGAUUUUUAUUGCACCCAUAAAGACUCAAAAUUGUGCUAAUUGAUUGGCCUAUAAAAAUAGACUGAACCACAUGUGGGGUGUUACAAGCAUUCUUUAUGAGCAGCUGCUGGGAAUAUACUGGGGUGUGGGGACCAGAGAAGAUGUGGAUUUAUUACCAUGAGAGAUUUUUUUUUUUCUCUUCUUCUUGGAAAAAGGCUCAACUCUGGUGAAAAGGGCAGAUUCUAUUUUGAUUUGUGAGGCCAUCAGGAUGAGUAACUACAAGAAAAAGCAUUUUUCCUAAAAGGUUUGUUGGGCUAUGUUACAGGCUUUUGCAUGAACCAAUGAAACUCCACCAGUGGGGAGCAGAGAAGACCUAAGAAAACUUGUGGGCAUACUGUCAUGCUGUGUCUCUGUCCUGUACAGAUCAUUUAUCUGCAUAGUUGGAUCACAGACAACCUUCUUACAGCUGAAGACCAUAGCGAAUACUCCAUAUCUCCAGGGACUAUAGGACUGGAUUCAUCAUAGGGGGAGAAAGAAAAGAAAAGCUAUUUCAUUCUAAUGGAAAUUUCAUAAUGAAUUUCAGAGACUACAUUUUCAUAUUCAAUUUUCAAGACCAAUUUAAAAGAAUACAUUUAUUUCCUUACCUUCAGUCUGUUCUACAGUCACCAGUGGUCUCAGCUUACCCAGGACUAUCCCCUGAAGGAGGAAAUGGCAACCCACUCCAGUUCUUACAGGGAAAACCCCAUGGACAGAAGAGCCUGGAAGGCUACAGUUUGUGGGUUCAGAUAUAACUGAGUGACUAAGCAUGCAAGAUCCAGUGUAGUGUGGAAAGUCCUACACACACCCCCCAGAAACUGCCCAGGCAAACCAGGACUGUUGGUCACCUUUCCAGAAAAAAAAAAAAAAACAAAACCAACUAUUCUAACUAGAAGUAUACUGAUAAUUGAAACCAGAAUUACUAUUUUCCGUUUAUUUAUCCUAAAAAUCAAAACAGUUCUUAUUUCAAAACCUCUCCUACAAAAAAAUGAUUAUUUAUGAGAUAACUCGACAAAAAUCAUAAAGCCAAUCCACUUAUAAGAAUAAAGACAUUUCUUUAAUAAUCCUAGAAAGAAUC
RNAcentral lists this long non-coding RNA (1177 nucleotides) under Bos indicus x Bos taurus (hybrid cattle). Its description in RNAcentral is "lncRNA (ENSBIXG00005031071.1)". Lineage: Eukaryota; Metazoa; Chordata; Mammalia; Artiodactyla; Bovidae. The record is from RNAcentral.